UACAGAGGUGGCAAGCGUUGUUCGGAUUUAUUGGGCGUAAAGGGUCCGUAGGCGGUCCGGAAAGUCGGGUGUGAAAUCCUACAGCUUAACUGUAGAACUGCACUCGAAACUCUCGGACUAGAGUAUGGAAGAGGUAAAGGGAAUUCCCGGUGUAAGGGUGAAAUCUGCAGAGAUCGGGAGGAACACCAGUAGCGAAGGCGCUUUACUGGUCCAUUACUGACGCUGAGGGACGAAAGCUAGGGGAGCAAACGGG
Molecule: ribosomal RNA, 253 nt
Filed under: uncultured bacterium
Lineage: Bacteria
Description: partial 16S ribosomal RNA
Rfam family: Bacterial small subunit ribosomal RNA
Source: RNAcentral